CCUACGGGGGGCAGCAGUGGGGAAUAUUGGGCAAUGGAGGAAACUCUGACCCAGCAACGCCGCGUGAAUGAUGAAGGUCUUCGGAUUGUAAAGUUCUUUUCUAAGGGAAGAAGAAAGUGACGGUACCAUAGGAAUAAGCUUCGGCUAACUACGUGCCAGCAGCCGCGGUAAUACGUAGGAGGCGAGGGUUUUCCGGAAUGACUGGGCGUAAAGGGUGCGGUGGGGGUUUGGCAAGUUAGUAGGGUAAAUCCAAGGCUCAACCUUGGAAAUACUACUAAAACUGUUGGACUUGAGUGCAGGAGAGGCAACCGGAAUUCCAAGUGUAGCGGUAGAAUGCGUAGAUAUAAGGAGGAACACCAGUGGCGAAGGCGGGUGGCUAGACUGUAACUGACACUGAGGCACGAAAGCGUGGGGAGCAAACAGGAUUAGAUACCCCGGUAGUC
Molecule: ribosomal RNA, 443 nt
Filed under: uncultured bacterium
Lineage: Bacteria
Description: partial 16S ribosomal RNA
Rfam family: Bacterial small subunit ribosomal RNA
Source: RNAcentral